UGGGGAAUAUUGGACAAUGGGCGCAAGCCUGAUCCAGCAAUGCCGCGUGUGUGAAGAAGGCCUUCGGGUUGUAAAGCACUUUUAUCAGGAGCGAAACGCUGUCGGCUAAUACCCGGCGGAACUGACGGUACCUGAGGAAUAAGCACCGGCUAACUUCGUGCCAGCAGCCGCGGUAAUACGAAGGGUGCAAGCGUUAAUCGGAAUUACUGGGCGUAAAGCGUGCGUAGGCGGUUUCUUAAGUCUGCUGUGAAAUCCCCGGGCUCAACCUGGGAAUGGCAGUGGAUACUGGGAGGCUAGAGUGUGUCAGAGGGUGGUGGAAUUCCCGGUGUAGCGGUGAAAUGCGUAGAGAUCGGGAGGAACAUCAGUGGCGAAGGCGGCCACCUGGGACAACACUGACGCUGAGGCAGCGAAAGCGUGGGGGAGCAAACAGGAUUAGAUACCCUGGUAGUCCACGCCCUAAAACGAUGCGAACUGGAUGUUGGUCUCAACUCGGAGAUCAGUGUCGAAGCUAACGCGUUAAGUUCGCCGCCUGGGGAGUACGGUCGCAAGACUGAAACUAAAUGAAUUGACGGGGUCAUAGCUGUUUCCUG
This 590-nucleotide ribosomal RNA is filed under the name uncultured bacterium. RNAcentral's name for it is "partial 16S ribosomal RNA". It matches the Rfam family "Bacterial small subunit ribosomal RNA", at positions 355 to 1376 of the family's 1533-position model. The record is from RNAcentral.